Molecule: RNA transcript, 4018 nt
Organism: Alosa sapidissima (American shad)
Lineage: Eukaryota; Metazoa; Chordata; Actinopteri; Clupeiformes; Clupeidae
Gene: nyx
Gene name: nyctalopin
Exons: 3
Source: RefSeq, a predicted model, not a curated record
GUGUAUAUGCGGUCACAUAGAAGCAUCACAAGUCUUUGAAGUGAAACACACACUGACAUGUCUAUGGCAAUCUGCCCUUCCUUAAUAUAUUCUUCUAAUUGAGCUUCACUGAUUGAGUUACAAUGGAACAAGUCCAAAAUGCAAGCAACUGGAAGCACUCCGCAGAAUGUAAAUAAGGUGCUGCAGAAUAAGAACAUGUGAAUUUUUGUUUUGACAACCGUAUGGCAUCUUGUCCUCUAGGAAUUAUAUCUCUGUCUUAAGCUACACCUCUACUAAGUGUAUAUACAUGGCAGACAUUUGACACCUCAUCAGUUGGAGGUGUUUUAUAUGAAAGUGAUGGUUUCCAUCAAGGCUUCUAUGGGUCCGUGUGUCUUCAUCCAGGAUUAUAAUCACUGAGAAUGUAUGAGCUCUUAACCCAGUUCACCAUGGCCAAUGCAUCUGGAUGCUAACGAAAAUCUUGGCACACCAUGACCUGAUUGGAGAAUCGCCCUUUUUCCUGAAAAAUCGUCUCAAAGCCUUGAUGCUAUCAGAGUGUGUCAAAGCUAAUAAGUGUGUGUGUGUGUGUGUGUGUUAGCUGAUGUAAUACGAGCAGUUAUAAUCUGGAUGUGUCUCUGGUUACUGAGAGACCCAUUGCGAGAGCUGCUGUUGCUCUCCUUGAUCCUGGAGCCACGCUUCACGCAUCAGUAAUCCUAGGCCCAUCUCAGGGAUUUGUCUGCCAUUAAGUGAUGGCUUUUUGAUUGUGUGUGUGUGUGUGUGUAUGUGUAGUUGAGGGUGGGGGGUAAUGUUAGCUGGUACUGUUCGUAGAAGAACACACCGCACACAUCUCUGAUCACACUCACACAGCCCUUUUUAGAGGGGCAGGGACCUCUAAAUCCGCCCAGUCAUGCAGUGGUAAGCGUGCGGAGAGGAGCUGUCUGCCCAUGGAUGAGCUCAAGGGAACGUCCUCACCAGCGGCCGUUUCCAGGUGGAGGAGCUGGACCUGAGCAACAGGUGAGAGUGCCUUUACUGAAGCAGCCAGCAGUUGUUCUUUGGUCCUACUGAGAAUUUGGAAUGAAGAAUUUUUUUGUUCAAGUGUCUAUCAUUAUGAAGACCAACUCGCAUGGUAUGUUGUGUCGCACAGGCAAUGGAAAGUCAUAAGGCAAAUCAUUUCUUACCCGUAACAGUUUAAGGAUCUCCGUAUUAGAAAGGAUUUUUUUGCCUGAUCCAUUUGCUUGGAGUUACUUAUUCUGUAUUUCACACAGUCAUUUACUACGUUUUUGUGCUCUGAUAGUUGAUCAUGUCUAUUUAGAAUAGUACUUUGUAACCUUUAUGCAAUUUUUACCCUGAUCAUUUAUAACAAUUUCAGAUCUCUCCUUGACACUUGACAUGCAACAGGUGCCCCAGACCAGUGAUGAUUCUAAUAGUGAUAGGCGUGUCCUCCCUCCUCCUGCCCCACGCGCUGGCCCUGUGGGCGUGCACACGUUCCUGCCCGCCCCGCUGCACGUGCACGGAGGAGAAGAACUGCAGCGUGCUGUGUGACCGCUCGGCCUUGGGCGACCUGCCCAAGGAGUUCCCCUGCGAGGCGUCUGCCAUCAACCUGGACAAGAACAGCCUCAAGUUCCUGGCGGAGCGCGCGUUCGGGACGCUGCCCUCACUGCGCUUGCUCUCGCUGGACCACAACAACAUCUCUUUCAUCACGCCAGGGGCUUUCAAAGGGCUGCCCAACCUGGUGGAUCUCCGCAUGGCCAAUAACGAGUACAUCAGCUACCUGCACACGCGCACCUUCACCUCCCUCAGGCGCCUGGUGCGGCUAGACAUAUCCAACUGCAACCUCUUCAGCAUGCCCGACCGCAUCUUCAUUGAGCAGGUGGACCUUCGCGAGCUGUUCUGCUUCCAGAACAUGUUCCGGCGUGUUCCGAGCGCCCUUCGGGACAUGGAGAACCUGACACACGUGUACCUGGAGCGGAACAAGAUCGAAGCGGUGGCCUACAACUCCCUGCUGGGCCUCCUCAACCUGAAGUACCUGAACUUGCAGGAGAACCGCAUCACGACAAUCCACGACAACUCCUUCCAGGACCUGCGCAAGCUCGAGAACUUCUACCUGAACGACAACCUGCUCUCCGAACUGCCCCAGUACACCUUCAGAGGCCUCGUCUCCCUCAAGAUGCUCAACCUCGGAGGGAACUUCCUCUCCAACGUAUCCCGGACCUGGUUCGGCGAUCUGGUGGAGCUAGAGGUGCUCUACCUGGACCGCAACCGCCUGCUGUUCAUCGAGGAGGGCGCGUUUGAGAACCUCACCAGCCUCAUCACGCUGCACCUCAACAGCAACAACCUCACCAUCCUGCCCCUCCCCACCUUCCAGCCCAUCUACUUCGUCGGGCACCUGUACCUCUUCCGCAACCCCUGGGAAUGUGACUGCAGUCUUGAGUGGCUUAAGGAGUGGAAAGAAAACUACAAGCUGGUGCGGGACAUCCCCUGUGCCAGCCCAUCGUCCGUGGCCGGCCUUGACCUCAGCGAGGUGGUGUACACCCGCCUCAAUGGCACCUGCAUAGACCCAGGAGAACGGAACCUGACCACGGCCGCUCCCGAGACCCCCACCACAGAGAGCAAGCUCAACAGUCUCAUCUCCAAGCUGCUCCAGCAGGAGCUCAAGGAGGAGGCCACAAACUCCUCGGAGAGCUUCCGCAACGGAACCGUGGCCGAGAGCCAGGUGUCGGCCGGAAUACGCCUUAUUGGGUCUGGCCAAUGGCUGCUGCUGUUAUUGUUUGCUUGUCUGCACAUUGGCCAGUCAGGCACCUUGAUGGUGUUCUAUCAGCUUUGUGACAGGCCAUGAAAAGUUUGGCAAAGUUGUGGAGAAAGAGUUCAGCAUAGUGGGGGAAGAAUCCAGUUUUCCAUGGCCCGUGGAAGAAAGGGUUCAGAGUCCGGGCUGUCAAGUGGAAUCCUGCUUUCCUGGAAAGGCUGAUCCUGAUAGCUAAAUAGGGGAAAGGAAGAAUACUUUCAUAUACCAUAGUUCUGGACCACUGCUUUCAUUCCUUCUUUCUUUUUGAGAAAUGGAAAACGGGAAGUGUGGAGUCUUGGCUUCAGGUAUAAUAAGAAGAAUCAGUUGUCUGACAUCUGUGAAUAAGACUGAGAGAAUAAGAGCACUCGUUUUAUUUUGGUCCAAAACCGUCGGACACCGAAAUGAUGGGAUUUGCAGAGCAUUAAAUUAAUGUUGAGCCCACGCGCGCGCACACACACACACACACAAAACGCUUUCACUUGCUUAAUGUUCCAUCGUCUACACUAAGGUGAAGAUUUAUGUAUGGAAGAUAGCACUAGCUGCGGCGCAUCAUCACUUUAACAGAUGGUGCUGUAUCGUGUGGCAUGGUCUGGUUCUCCCGGCCACGUAGAGAUGCAUAUUUUUCCAAGUGCUAUCCAGACACAUGGACAUAACAUGGACUAACUACACCCAAGUAGUGUUGUGUUUGUGCACAUUAGCUAUAUUAUGGUGUUAUUUUAUUGUGUUUUCAAGUCAACAGAUUCCAUUAACCAGCUUUGCUCGUGGUUAUGAGAAAAAUGCGGUUUCAUUUUUUAAAAUUUUAAGUUUGCAUUUUCCAUUCCAUCAUACAUCUGCUUGAUUAUUUCAUUAAUUGAGAAUAAUAACAAUGUAUGAAAAAUUAUUCCUGGAUGCUAUAAGAAAUACAUGCUGCUAAAUAAGAUGAAAGGGAUGAACAGAAGCCUUGUUUGUUUGUAAACACUUAUUUGCAAGGGAUUUGAUCCAGCAUGUGACAUGUUCUUCCACGUAAUCUAACGUAUACACAGACAUUUAUGUUCUCUUAAAACAUUUCUGAGUCUUGGCAACAUUGCAAUAUAAUUGUAUUUGUUUACAGUUAAGAUCAAGAAUAUUCUUAGUUUAUAUGCGGUGCAAAGGCUGAACACCCAUGUGUGGAAGUUCGUGGCGAUUGAGGUGCUGAAAUGUAAACUCUGAAAGUUGUACAGUGAUUGAAUUUGUAUGCCAUCAAUCUGAAUAAAAUGGUCUGUCUGAGUACACUUUGACUCA